RNAcentral lists this ribosomal RNA (446 nucleotides) under uncultured bacterium. RNAcentral's name for it is "bacterial SSU rRNA". It matches the Rfam family "Bacterial small subunit ribosomal RNA", at positions 338 to 795 of the family's 1533-position model. The record is from RNAcentral.
CCUACGGGUGGCUGCAGUCGAGAAUCUUCGGCAAUGAGCGCAAGCUUGACCGAGCGACGCCGCGUGCGGGAUGAAGGCCUUCGGGUUGUAAACCGCUUUGGUCCGAGAGAAAGGGCAACUUGAUCGAUCGGAGAAACAAGGACGGGCUAAGUUCGUGCCAGCAGCCGCGGUAAGACGAACCGUCCAAACGUUAUUCGGAAUCACUGGGCUUAAAGGGCGCGUAGGCGGCCGAGCGGGUCGCGGGUGAAAUCCUCCAGCUUAACUGGAGAACUGCCCUCGAUACCACUGCGGCUCGAGGAAGGAAGGGGCAAUCGGAACUGUCGGUGGAGCGGUGAAAUGCGUUGAUAUCGACAGGAACGCCGGUGGCGAAAGCGGAUUGCUGGUCCUUUUCUGACGCUGAGGCGCGAAAGCCAGGGGAGCAAACGGGAUUAGAUACCCCAGUAGUC